This is a non-coding RNA of Macaca mulatta (Rhesus monkey), 754 nucleotides long. The record is from RefSeq and is a predicted model, not a curated record. NCBI's taxonomy places the organism in Eukaryota, Metazoa, Chordata, Mammalia, Primates, Cercopithecidae.
UAUGUGCAUAAAUCUGUAUUUAUCUAAUCUCUAUUUCUCUAUUGAGAGAGUGUGUGUGUGAAGAAAGAAAAAGAGACAGUGAAAGAGAAGAGACCUACUAUUUGAUAGCAUAAUAAGGGCCUCCCUUGCCGGUGUUCCUGUUUAGCCCUCCUGGGACCUCCUCUUCCAGGCAUUACUGCUACCAGAUAAUUGAGGCUUGGAACCUCCAGGUGUCAGAGAGUGAUGCACUUUUGAAACCCUCCAAGUGAUGAAAAUCAGAGCUUGUUCAUGACUACGGAUGAAAGCAUUCAGUCAUUUACCAGGUCUAUGUAAGUAUAAGUACGUACUUCUAUUUGACAUUUAGGAUCACCCCUCACAUUUUUGUAUGUAUUUAUGUAUUUAACAGCACGAUUUCUGAAGGACCAUGGAAGUGUUUAUUCCUGUUACUCGUAUUCCUGAACAUCACCCACUAGACUUCAAUUUUACUUGAGAAAAGCCAGUCAUAUUACUCCAACUAGAACUGGGCAGUGCUUAUAUAGACCUGAUGAAUUUGUAGGAUUUAUGAAAGUAUACUUCAAGGAUCCAAUGGUUCAGGGAUUUAAUUCUAUAAAAUGAAAUUCAUAAGAAAGAAUGGUGUUGCAGCCUACAUUUUACUUUUCAAUGUCUGUUUCAAAAUUGAAUUGUUAGUCUCUUAGAGAACUUCUACCUGUACCUGAUGGAGUAACUUGCCCUCUCAGCAUAAACAACUAUAAACUGAAUAAAAUAUUUAAUACCA